Molecule: ribosomal RNA, 299 nt
Filed under: uncultured Symbiodinium
Lineage: Eukaryota; Dinophyceae; Suessiales; Symbiodiniaceae
Description: partial Bacterial large subunit ribosomal RNA
Rfam family: Bacterial large subunit ribosomal RNA
Source: RNAcentral
AACCCGGGGAACUGAAACAUCUCAGUACCCGGAGGAAAGGACAUCAACCGAGACUCCGCUAGUAGUGGCGAGCGAACGCGGACCAGGCCAGUGGUCAUGUCGAGAGAACCGGAACCGUCUGGAAAGUCGGGCCUUAGUGGGUGAUAGCCCCGUACGGGUGUUGUGAGAUUGAGGACUUGAGUAGGGCGGGACACGUGAAAUCCUGUCUGAACAUGGGGGGACCAUCCUCCAAGCCUAAGUACUCCUUAUCGACCGAUAGUGAACAAGUACCGUGAGGGAAAGGUGAAAAGUACCCUGAA